Molecule: ribosomal RNA, 387 nt
Filed under: Triticum aestivum (bread wheat)
Lineage: Eukaryota; Viridiplantae; Streptophyta; Magnoliopsida; Poales; Poaceae
Description: partial small subunit ribosomal RNA
Source: RNAcentral
AUGGAGGCGCGGCCGGAACAGAACUGCAGACCGCGAAUGGAGAGGUCGCCGGUGAGGCAGCGUGACUGGGCUGCCAUGGACCCUGAUGAUGUAGCUCAAUUCUCCAUGUUAGCUAAGACCAACUACUACCUUCUGUUUGUGUGGGUGUGUGCCUGUUUCCUGCUAUCGUUGAAGAUAGCUCAUCCUUGUAGCCCUGGCAAGGCAAACGUGUGUGUGCUUUGUAACCGUAGUGACUACUGUUGUUUUCUGAUGUAUGGCAACCGCUACAGUUUAUGCAACCUAAUGAUGUUCUAUGGAUUUUGCUAUAUCAGUCCCAGGCAGCCUCUGCUUUCUAUGUCCCAACUUGCUGAUGCUAAAUUGAUGUGUUCAAAGUUUCAAUAUGACUGA